GCAAGAAUGGCGAAAUUGGUAGACGCGCUGGCCUUAGGAGCCAGUCUCGAAAGAGGUGGGGGUUCGAGUCCCCCUUCUUGCACCA
RNAcentral lists this transfer RNA (85 nucleotides) under Candidatus Babelota bacterium. RNAcentral describes it as "Candidatus Dependentiae bacterium tRNA-Leu". It matches the Rfam family "tRNA". Rfam says of the family: Transfer RNA (tRNA) molecules are approximately 80 nucleotides in length. Their secondary structure includes four short double-helical elements and three loops (D, anti-codon, and T loops). Further hydrogen bonds mediate the characteristic L-shaped molecular structure. tRNAs have two regions of fundamental functional importance: the anti-codon, which is responsible for specific mRNA codon recognition, and the 3' end, to which the tRNAs corresponding amino acid is attached (by aminoacyl-tRNA synthetases). tRNAs cope with the degeneracy of the genetic code in two manners: having more than one tRNA (with a specific anti-codon) for a particular amino acid; and 'wobble' base-pairing, i.e. permitting non-standard base-pairing at the 3rd anti-codon position. The record is from RNAcentral.